Molecule: ribosomal RNA, 470 nt
Filed under: uncultured bacterium
Lineage: Bacteria
Description: SSU rRNA
Rfam family: Bacterial small subunit ribosomal RNA
Source: RNAcentral
AGGAUAAACGCUGGCGGCGUGCCUAACACAUGCAAGUCGAACGCGCUUUCGGGCUUCGGUGCGAGAGCGAGUGGCGGACGGGUGAGUAACACAUGGGUACCUACCUUGGAGUGAGGGAUACCGGCGAGAAAUCGCCGACAAUACCGCAUAGGCUUCUUCACAAGGGAAGCAAAGUGACGCGAGUCACGCUGUGAGAUGGGCCUGUGGCCGAUUAGCUAGUUGGGGGGUAACGGCUUCCCAAGGCGACGAUCGGUAGCUGGUCUGAGAGGACGAUCAGCCACACUGGGAUUGAGAACGGCCCAGACUCCUACGGGGGGCAGCAGUGAGGAAUUUUCCGCAAUGGAGGCAACUCUGACGGAGCAACGCCGCGUGCAGGAGGAAGGUUUUCGGAUCGUAAACUGCUUUUCUCGGGGACGAGCAAGGACGGUACCCGAGGAAGAAGCCCCGGCUAACUACGUGCCAGCAGCCGC